This 84-nucleotide non-coding RNA is filed under the name Propithecus coquereli (Coquerel's sifaka). Lineage: Eukaryota; Metazoa; Chordata; Mammalia; Primates; Indriidae. The record is from RNAcentral.
GUGUUGCAUGAAAGGAGAGAAGGUUAGCACUCCCCUUGACAAGGAUGGAAGAGGCUCUCGGGCCUGCACAACAUGCAUUAUUAU